RNAcentral lists this ribosomal RNA (336 nucleotides) under uncultured Ancylothrix sp. Its description in RNAcentral is "bacterial SSU rRNA". It matches the Rfam family "Bacterial small subunit ribosomal RNA", at positions 20 to 383 of the family's 1533-position model. The record is from RNAcentral. Lineage: Bacteria; Bacillati; Cyanobacteriota; Cyanophyceae; Oscillatoriales; Microcoleaceae.
UGGCUCAGGAUGAACGCUGGCGGUCUGCUUAACACAUGCAAGUCGAACGGUUGUAGAAAUACAAUAGUGGCGGACGGGUGAGUAACGCGUGAGAACCUGCCUUUUAGACUGGGACAACAGAGGGAAACCUGUGCUAAUACCAGAUGAACCGAGAGGGGAAAGAUUAAUCGCUAAAAGAGGGGCUCGCGUCGGAUUAGCUAGUUGGUGUGGUAAAGGCGCACCAAGGCGACGAUCCGUAGCUGGUCUGAGAGGAUGACCAGCCACACUGGGACUGAGACACGGCCCAGACUCCUACGGGAGGCAGCAGUGGGGAAUUUUCCGCAAUGGGCGAAAGCC